Ictidomys tridecemlineatus (thirteen-lined ground squirrel) is the source of this 690-nucleotide long non-coding RNA. RefSeq lists it as uncharacterized. The record is from RefSeq and is a predicted model, not a curated record. Lineage: Eukaryota; Metazoa; Chordata; Mammalia; Rodentia; Sciuridae.
CACGGCAUCCUUGAUGGUGUUGGUAGAGAGCCACGGACGAGGCUGGCCUGAUGCAGGGGGCAUUUCCCCUGGCUAGUGUUGACGAGGUGCUGAGGAAGGGGUCUUGGGGAACCAUCAGAUUGCACCACCAGCCCCAGGCCUGACCCCCUACCCCAGGGAGGCCCCACUCAGCUUCUGCUUACCUGAGAGCCACUUUGGGGUCCAAUGUAUUCUCAGGGGACAAAGACCUGGAAGGAUCACAGGGUUUUGAGGUGAACAGCCCCACACAGGAGGGGAAGCCUGCCUUCUGGCACAUGAAGACCAAAAGACCAGUCAGUCUACACCGGCUGAGAGUUCAACUGAAUAAAAAUCUGCCGAGUCAAAGCAAAGGCCGCCCACCUCUGUCUGGCGGAGAGGACACUCCUGAGCAUGGACAUCCAGCCCUGCCCAGCCUGGUUGGAGAGACAGGCCUCUCUCAGGUUGUCCUGGGCUGUUACUCCUCUGGGCAGCUCAAGCCCUGGCACAUAUUUCUCUUAUUCAUUGUUAACUCCAAAUUCAAGCUAUUUGCUUACUGAUCUCUUUUCCCACUGGACUGUCAACCCCAGUGGCAAGAUGGGUGACUCAUUUCUGGCUGUCUGAGCAGUCCUUGCUUACCACCUGGUCAUGGUAGACUGUGCAGUAAAGAUGUGAAUGAAUGAAUAGUGAACGGCA